UGGAAAGCUCUCUCACUCUUAGGUAUGAACAAACUCUCUAAGCUCAAUCAAUUUUAUAAGCAGAGAAGUAAGAAGGGUUGGGCCACUGCUGGUGAUCGUAAUACUAAGUUUUUUCAUCAGGCUGUGAUCAAAAGAAGAAAAAGAAAUACUAUUUGUUCCAUUAAGGAUGAGAAUGAUGUGCUUCAUUUUAAACCUAGUGCUAUCACUAAUACUUUUGUCAAUUAUUUUAGUAACACUGCAAGGCCUUUUCUUAAUACUCGUUUGCCUGACAACUCUUUGGAUCCUACUUACUUUCUUCCAGAUAAACAUGAGAUUUUGCAGAUUCUCAAAGACAUGAAGUUGAAUGCUUCUCCGGGUCCGGAUGGAUUUAAUGUUGAAUUUUAUCUAGCAGCAUGGGAUUGGAUUGGCGAGGAAGUUACUCAACUUGUGACUACCUUUUAUAAAACUGGUAUUUUACCUCCUCAUAUCAAUGACACUAAUAUUGCUCUCAUUCCAAAAAAGUUAGUUCCUCAAGUUCCUAUGGAUUAUCAUCCC
RNAcentral lists this ribosomal RNA (534 nucleotides) under Triticum aestivum (bread wheat). RNAcentral's name for it is "partial small subunit ribosomal RNA". The record is from RNAcentral. Lineage: Eukaryota; Viridiplantae; Streptophyta; Magnoliopsida; Poales; Poaceae.